GUGUCAGCCGCCGCGGUAAUACGGAGGGUGCGAGCGUUAAUCGGAAUUACUGGGCGUAAAGCGCAUGCAGGUGGUUUGUUAAGUCAGAUGUGAAAGCCCGGGGCUCAACCUCGGAAUUGCAUUUGAAACUGGCAGGCUAGAGUACUGUAGAGGGGGGUAGAAUUUCAGGUGUAGCGGUGAAAUGCGUAGAGAUCUGAAGGAAUACCGGUGGCGAAGGCGGCCCCCUGGACAGAUACUGACACUCAGGUGCAAAAGCGUGGGGAGCAAACAGGAUUAGAUACCCGGGUAGUCC
This 292-nucleotide ribosomal RNA is filed under the name uncultured prokaryote. RNAcentral describes it as "partial 16S ribosomal RNA". It matches the Rfam family "Bacterial small subunit ribosomal RNA", at positions 505 to 796 of the family's 1533-position model. The record is from RNAcentral.